GCUGGCGGCACGCCUAAUACAUGCAAGUCGAACGAAGUAGCAAUACUUAGUGGCAGACGGGUGAGUAACAUGUAGGUAUCUUCCCUUUGGUGAGGAAUAACACGAGGAAACUUGUGCUAAUACCUCAUAAGUCUUUACGGAGAAAGCUUUAUGCGCCAAUGGAUGAGCCUGCACUUGAUUAGUUAGUUGGUAGGGUAAUGGCCUACCAAGACAUUGAUCAAUAGCUGAUUUGAGAGGAUGAUCAGCCACAUUGGGACUGAGACACGGCCCAAACUCCUACGGGAGGCAGCAGUAGGGAAUCUUGCACAAUGGGGGAAACCCUGAUGCAGCGAUGCCGCGUGAGUGAAGAAGGCCUUUGGGUUGUAAAGCUCUUUCGUCGGGGAAGAAAAUGACUGUACCCGAAUAAGAAGGUCCGGCUAACUUCGUGCCAGCAGCCGCGGUAAUACGAAGGGACCUAGCGUAGUUCGGAAUUACUGGGCUUAAAGAGUUCGUAGGUGGUUAAAAAAGUUGGUGGUGAAAUCCCAGAGCUUAACUCUGGAACUGCCAUCAAAACUUUUUAGCUAGAGUAUGAUAGAGGAAAGCAGAAUUUCUAGUGUAGAGGUGAAAUUCGUAGAUAUUAGAAAGAAUACCAAUUGCGAAGGCAGCUUUCUGGAUCAUUACUGACACUGAGGAACGAAAGCAUGGGUAGCGAAGAGGAUUAGAUACCCUCGUAGUCCAUGCCGUAAACGAUGUGUGUUAGACGUUGGAAAUUUUUUUCAGUGUCUCAGCGAAAGCAAUAAACACACCGCCUGGGGAGUACGACC
Molecule: ribosomal RNA, 803 nt
Filed under: uncultured Pelagibacteraceae bacterium
Lineage: Bacteria; Pseudomonadati; Pseudomonadota; Alphaproteobacteria; Candidatus Pelagibacterales; Candidatus Pelagibacteraceae
Description: bacterial SSU rRNA
Rfam family: Bacterial small subunit ribosomal RNA
Source: RNAcentral